RNAcentral lists this ribosomal RNA (324 nucleotides) under uncultured eukaryote. Its description in RNAcentral is "partial 18S ribosomal RNA". It matches the Rfam family "Eukaryotic small subunit ribosomal RNA", at positions 1470 to 1796 of the family's 1831-position model. The record is from RNAcentral.
CCCUUAGAUGUUCUGGGCCGCACGCGCGCUACACUGAUGCAUUCAACGAGUUUCUUCCUGGUCCGAGAGGAAUGGGUAACCUUUUGAAAGUGCAUCGUGAUAGGGAUAGACUAUUGCAAUUAUUGGUCUUCAACGAGGAAUUCCUAGUAGACGUAGUUCAUCAGACUGCAUCGAUUACGUCCCUGCCCUUUGUACACACCGCCCGUCGCUCCUACCGAUGGAAUGCUCAGGUGAGCCAUUCGGACUUUCAUCAUGCUGGUUUCCAGUUUUGAUGAAGGAAAGUCUUGCGAACCUUAUCAUUUAGAGGAAGGAGAAGUCGUAACA